CCACUUGUAGCUUAGUGAUAGAGCAAUGCUGCGUAAAACCAGAAACCCGGGUUCGAUUCCCGGCGGGUGCG
RNAcentral lists this transfer RNA (71 nucleotides) under Agrilus planipennis (emerald ash borer). It matches the Rfam family "tRNA". From Rfam's summary of the family: Transfer RNA (tRNA) molecules are approximately 80 nucleotides in length. Their secondary structure includes four short double-helical elements and three loops (D, anti-codon, and T loops). Lineage: Eukaryota; Metazoa; Arthropoda; Insecta; Coleoptera; Buprestidae. The record is from Rfam by way of RNAcentral.